GAAGGGGUUUCUUUGGCAUGGCUGUGAAAAACCUUUUGAAGCACCUUUAUUUUUAAGAGUGUACUGUGGGGAAGUCCUGAGCCUUUUGACUAAUGAGAAAUCUCUUUGUGUUGGUGCUCUCUCUCCUUGCCAGGCUUGGAGGGUGAUUGUAUUUGUAAUUAAGCAAACAAUCAAUACGCAUCAAGAAUUCCUGACGCAUCGGUGUUAACAGCACUAGCAUUAGCGAUUGCUAAUUCCCUGCAAAGUGGCUCCAUUGUCAGGUGGGCAGGCGGGGACAUUAGAUUUUGGACAAGGAGAGAGAAAACUCUGGUCCGGUAAUUAUGGUUUCAAGUGGCCACACACAAGACCAAUGCUUUUCUGUUCCAAUGGGUAAUAAGUAGACCUCUGUUGCCAUGGAAACAGUGGAGUCCAAAAACACUACCAGACCCCAUAGGAACGGGUUUUUGUCAGCUGUAAACACAUAAGACAUGAAAACACCCAUCCUCACACAUUCUUUAGCC
Long non-coding RNA from Cyprinus carpio carpio, 500 nucleotides. The record is from Ensembl. Lineage: Eukaryota; Metazoa; Chordata; Actinopteri; Cypriniformes; Cyprinidae.